UACAGAGGUCUCAAGCGUUGUUCGGAUUCAUUGGGCGUAAAGGGUGUGUAGGUGGCGCCGUAAGUCGGGUGUGAAAUUUCGGAGCUUAACUCCGAAACUGCAUUCGAUACUGCGGUGCUUGAGGACUGGAGAGGAGACUGGAAUUCAUGGUGUAGCAGUGAAAUGCGUAGAGAUGUGGAGGAACACCAGUGGCGAAGGCGACUCUUUGGCCUGUAACUGACGCUGAGGCGCGAAAGCGUGGGGAGCAAACAGG
This 253-nucleotide ribosomal RNA is filed under the name uncultured bacterium. RNAcentral describes it as "partial 16S ribosomal RNA". It matches the Rfam family "Bacterial small subunit ribosomal RNA", at positions 524 to 776 of the family's 1533-position model. The record is from RNAcentral.